Molecule: ribosomal RNA, 490 nt
Filed under: uncultured bacterium
Lineage: Bacteria
Description: bacterial SSU rRNA
Rfam family: Bacterial small subunit ribosomal RNA
Source: RNAcentral
UGCAGUCGAGCGAGGAGAGGGCUUCGGCCCUCGAUUCGAGCGGCGAAAGGGUGAGUAAUGCAUGGGCAAUCUACCCGCGAGUCCGGGACAACUACUGGAAACGGUAGCUAAUACCGGAUAGCCCAGGACGAAGGCAUCUUCGACCUGGUAAAGGGGGGGACCUUCGGGCCUCUCACUCGCGGAGGAGCCUAUGUCCUAUCAGCUUGUUGGUGGGGUAACGGCCUACCAAGGCAAUGACGGGUAGCCGGACUGAGAGGUUGACCGGCCACACUGGGACUGAGACACUGCCCAGACUCCUACGGGAGGCUGCAGUCGAGAAUCAUCCGCAAUGGGCGAAAGCCUGACGGUGCGACGCCGCGUGGAGGAUGAAGGCCUUCGGGUUGUAAACUCCUGUCACGUGAUGAGAAAGGCUAGAGGUUAAUACCCUCGUGUCUGACAAUUCAUGAGAGGAAGUCACGGCUAACUCUGUGCCAGCAGCCGCGGUAAUACG